This is a long non-coding RNA of Bombina bombina (fire-bellied toad), 481 nucleotides long. RefSeq lists it as uncharacterized. Lineage: Eukaryota; Metazoa; Chordata; Amphibia; Anura; Bombinatoridae. The transcript is spliced from 3 exons. The record is from RefSeq and is a predicted model, not a curated record.
AGAAAGAUGUUUGGGUCUGGUUUGGAUUCUGUUAUCUCUACUGUAACUGGAGGUAAGGGUGCCUUUUCCCCUCAGGACUCUUACCACCAUGAAAGAAAUGAAUUAAUAAGGGAUGUAUGCUUAGGAGCUGGCACAUUUCUGGAGCACUACACGGCAGCAGUAUUGCAAGAAUGUUAUCUAUUUGAAAGAGCAAUAGAUGGCAGCACUAUUUCCUGCUCCAGAUGCCUACCUAGGUAUCUCUUCCACACAGAAUACCAAUGGGAACGAAGAAGUGAAUUGGAAACUUUUUUUUAAAAUGAUGCAGAUGGACAAUAGAUGGCGGGAACAAAAUCAACUCUUGGGUGUGUUGGUUGAGCACUUUACACACCAGCAGGACACUGCCUCCAGCCUAUCAUCUGUGGCCAGCACUCCAGCAGAAUCAUCUGAAUCUUCCCAAACCAGGAGAACAAGGAAAUCCACUCCAGUCACCUCAGCCCCCUCA